RNAcentral lists this long non-coding RNA (1841 nucleotides) under Homo sapiens (human). RNAcentral's name for it is "HSALNT0126979". Lineage: Eukaryota; Metazoa; Chordata; Mammalia; Primates; Hominidae. The record is from RNAcentral.
CUCUUUUGAUACUUUGGGAUAGAAUUUGUAUUAACAGAAGUUUUGAAGUCAUUCAGAAUGCCACAUGACCAACGUGGGGUCACCAAUUGGAACAGGGAAGAGAUGUGCACAAUGGCCCUCUCUCCAGCUUGUGUGAGCCGGCUCCAACACACAUCCUGUGGAGCGAGAGUUUGGUUGCUGGGAGGACCAGCUCACUGACAGAUUAAAGUUACCAAGUUGAAGUGAUGAGCUUGAAUCCUUCUGCAGUCACACGUUUGGCCUAGCAGAGGUUGAAAUUUUUAAAAAAUGAAAUAGAACCACAAAGAAAAUAUCAGAACACAUUGCACUUAGUAAAGAUGGAGUCUCGCUAUGUUGCCCAGGCUGGACUUGAACUCCUGUACUCAAGCCAUCCUCCCGCCCCUGCCUCUUGAAGUGCUGGGAUUACAGAACAAGGGGGAGUCUCCCUGCACAAGCUCUCUCUCUUUGCCUGCUGUCAUCCACCUAAGAUGUAACUUGCUCCUCCUUGCCUUCCACCAUGAUUGUGAGGCUUCCCCAGCCACGUGGAACUGUUCAAAUUUCCAUCUGGUGUCAUUUUUCUUCUACCUGAAGAAUUUUCUUGAAUAUUCCUUAUAGCAUAGGUCUGCUGGCAAUAAAUUAUCAGUUUUGGCUUGUCUGAAAAUUUUUUGUUUUGCUUUAAUUUUUUAAACCACUUUUUUGAGAUAUAAUUGAUAUACAAUAAACUGCACAAAUUUAAAGUGUAUAAUUUAACAAGGUUUGAUGUUUGUGUACACCUAUGAAACAAUUACCACAAUCAAAAUAAUGAAUAUAUCCAUAACUCCCCAAAGUUUCUUCAUUUCUCUUUGUAAUCCCUCUUUCCACUUCUCCAUGUUACCGCUUCCUUGGGCAAGAACUGAUCUACUAAUCUAUGAUCACAGAUUAGUUUUCACUUUUCCUAGAAUUUUAUGUAAAUAGAAUCAUAUAGUGUGCACUCAUUUUUGUCUGGCUUUUUUUUUUUUUUUUUUUUUUUGAGACCGGAUCUUGCUCUUUUACCCAGGCUGUGCAGUGGCACCAUCUUGGCUCAUUGCAAUCUCCACCUCCUAGCCUUAAGGGAUCCUCCUGCCUCAGCCCCCUAAGUACCUGGGAUUACAGGCACAAGCCACCACACCUGGCUAAUUUUUGUAUUUUUUUGUAGAGAUGGGGUUUCACUAUCUCUACACCAUGUUGCCCAAGCUGGUCUUGUACUCCUCAGCUCAAGUGAUCCACUCACCUUGGCCUUCUGAAGUAUUAGGAUGACAGACAAGCCACCAUGCCCAGCUGUCUGGCUUCUUUCACUUAGAAUAAUUACUUUGAGUUUCAUUUAUUUUGCAUGUAUCAAUAUAUCAUAUGACAUAAUUUGUAUGUUUAUUCAUCUGUUAAUGGACAUAUGGGUCAUUUCCAGGUUUUGGCUAUUACAAAUAAAACUUCUGUGAACCUUUGUGUGCAUGCUUUUAUUUAGAAAUAUGCGUUAAUUUCUCUUGGUUUUUGCCUAAUUUUUUAAAGAUAUUUUUGACCAGUGUAGAAUUCUAGAAUUGCGAGCCUUUUUCUUUCCAUAUCUUUGUGAUGUCAUCUGGUUUGCAAGUCUGAGGCAAGUCUGGUUUGCAAGUCUGCUGUAAUUCUUACUUUUAUUCCUUUAUGUAUAAUGCAUCUUUUUUCCUCUGGCUGAUUUAAAUUUUUUUAUCUUUUUCAUUAAAUUUCAGCAAUUUGAUUAUGAUGUGCCUUGUGUGGUUUUUCUUCAUGUUUGGGAUUUAUUGAGCGUUUUGGAUCUGUAGGUUUAUCAUUUUUAUCACAUUUGGAAAUUUUUUGACUAUUCUUCAAAUAUUUUU